UACGAAGGGGGCUAGCGUUGUUCGGAAUUACUGGGCGUAAAGCGCACGUAGGCGGGUUUGUAAGUAGGGGGUGAAAUCCCAGGGCUCAACCCUGGAACUGCCUUCUAAACUGCAAGCCUUGGAGGUCAGGAGAGGCGAGUGGAAUACCGAGUGUAGAGGUGAAAUUCGUAGAUAUUCGGUGGAACACCAGUGGCGAAGGCGACUCGCUGGACUGAUACUGACGCUGAGGUGCGAAAGCGUGGGGAGCAAACAGG
This 254-nucleotide ribosomal RNA is filed under the name uncultured bacterium. RNAcentral's name for it is "partial 16S ribosomal RNA". It matches the Rfam family "Bacterial small subunit ribosomal RNA", at positions 524 to 776 of the family's 1533-position model. The record is from RNAcentral.